Molecule: ribosomal RNA, 245 nt
Filed under: uncultured archaeon
Lineage: Archaea
Description: partial 16S ribosomal RNA
Rfam family: Archaeal small subunit ribosomal RNA
Source: RNAcentral
UCCCAGCAGUCCGAGUCGCAGCCACAUUUGUUGGGUCUAAAAUAUCCGUAGCUUGCUUUUCAAGUCUCUUGUGAAAUCGGGACUCUUAAGGUUCCGGCGGGCAAGAGAUACUGUUUAGCUAGAGACCGGGAGGCGUAAGAAGUAUGAUUAGGGUAGCGGUAAAAUGCGUUGAUCCUAAUUAGACUAACAGUCGCGAAGGCGUCUUACGAGAACGGUUCUGACAGUGAGGGAUGAAGGCUAGGGGC